Cottoperca gobio is the source of this 5371-nucleotide long non-coding RNA. Lineage: Eukaryota; Metazoa; Chordata; Actinopteri; Perciformes; Bovichtidae. The record is from Ensembl.
UACUUCUACGGGACUAUUAUACCCAUACUAAUCUCUACUACUUCUACAAUAAUACUUUCUACUACUACUUCUACUACUUCUCUACCACUACUACUACUACUACUACUUCUACAACUUCUACUACUACAGCUAAUACUACUACUACUUCUACUUCUACUACUACUACUUCUACUACUUCUGCUUCUACCACUACUACUUCUACUUCUACCACUACUACUUCUACUUCUACCACUACUACUUCUACUUCUACCACUACUUCUACAGCUAAUACUACUACUUCUACUACUACUUCUACCACUACUUCUACUACUUCUACUACUUCUACAGCUAAUACUACUUCUACUACUUCUACCACUACUACUACUACUACUACUUCUACAGCUAAUACUACUUCUACUACUACUUCUAACUUCUACUACUUCUACUAUUUCUACUUCUACUACUUCUACCACUACUACUACUUCUACUUCUACAGCUAAUACUACUUCUACCACUACUACUACUACUUCUACUACUUCUACUACUACAGCUAAUACUACUUCUACUACUACUUCUACUACUUGUACUACUACUUCUACCACUUCUACUUCUACUACUUCUACCACUACUACUUCUACUUCUACAGCUAAUACUACUUCUACUACUUCUACCACUACUACUUCUACUUCUACUACUUCUACCACUACUACUUCUACAGCUAAUACUACUUCUACUACUUCUACUACCACUACUACUUCUACCACUACUUCUACCACUACUUCUACAGCUAAUACUACUUCUACUACUACUACUACUACUUCUACAGCUAAUACUACUUCUACUACUACUACUACUACUUCUACCACUACUUCUACCACUACUUCUACUUCUACCACUACUUCUACUUCUACUAUUUCUACAGCUACGACUACUACUUCUACUUCUACUACUUCUACCACUACUUCUACUUCUACCACUACUUCUACUUCUACAGCUAAUACUACUUCUACUACUUCUACUACCACUACUACUACUUCUACCACUACUUCUACAACUUCUACUACUACAGCUAAUACUACUUCUACUUCUACAGCUAAUACUACUACUUCUACCACUACUACUACUUCUACAGCUAAUACUACUUCUACUACUUCUACUACCACUACUACUACUACUACUUCGACCACUACUUCUACCACUACUUCUACUACUACUACUACUACUACUACUUCUACUACUGCUACAGCUAAUACUACUUCUACUACUACUUCUACUACUACUACUACUUCUACUUCUACCACUACUUCUACUUUUACCACUACUUCUACUAUUUCUACUUCUACUACUUCUACAGCUACUACUACUACUUCUACCACUACUUCUACGUCUACCACUACUUCUACCACUACUUCUACUUCUACAGCUAAUACUACUUCUACUACUUCUACUACCACUACUACUACUUCUACCACUACUACUACUUCUACAACUUCUACUUCUACUACUACAGCUAAUACUACUACUACUUCUACUUCUACCACUACUACUUCUACCACUACUACUUCUACUUCUACCACUACUACUUCUACUUCUACCACUACUACUUCUACUACAGCUAAUACUACUACUACUUCUACAGCUACUACUACUACUUCUACCACUACUUCUACGUCUACCACUACUUCUACCACUACUUCUACUUCUACUUCUACAGCUAAUACUACUUCUACUACUUCUACCACUACUUCUACCACUACCACUACUUCUACUACUUCUACAGCUACUACUACUACUACUACUUCUACCACUACUUCUACUACUUCUACCACUACUUCUACUUCUACAGCUAAUACUACUUCUACUACUUCUACUACCACUACUUCUACCACUACUACUUCUACAACUUCUACUACUACAGCUAAUACUACUUCUACUACUACUUCUACUUCUACUACUUCUACAGCUAAUACUACUACUUCUACCACUACUACUACUUCUACAGCUAAUACUACUUCUACUACUUCUACUACCACUACUACUCCUACCACUACUUCUACCACUACUUCUACAGCUAAUACUACUUCUACUACUUCUACUACUACUACUACUACUACUACUUCUACUUCUACAGCUAAUACUACUUCUACAGCUAAUACUACUUCUACUACUACUACUACUACUACUACUACUAUUACUUCUACUUCUACUACUUCUACAGCUAAUACUACUACUACUUCUACUUCUACUACUUCUACAGCUAAUACUACUUCUACCACUACUUCUACAGCUAAUACUACUUCUACUACUUCUACCACUACUUCUACUUCUACUAUUUCUACUUCUACUACUUCUACAGCUACUACUACUUCUACCACUACUUCUACUUCUACAGCUAAUACUACUUCUACUACUUCUCUACCACUACUACUACUUCUACUUCUACCACUACUACUACUUCUACAACUUCUACUUCUACUACUACAGCUAAUACUACUACUACUUCUACUACUACUACUUCUACUACUUCUACCACUACUACUUCUGCUUCUACCACUACCACUACUACUUCUACUUCUACUUCUACCACUACUACUUCUACCACUACUACUACUUCUACAGCUAAUACUACUACUACUUCUACUUCUACUACUUCUACAGCUAAUACUACUUCUACCACUACUUCUACAGCUAAUACUACUUCUACUACUACUACUUCUACUUCUACUACUUCUACUACUUCUACAGCUAAUACUACUACUACUACUUCUACCACUACUUCUACAGCUAAUACUACUUCUACUACUUCUACCACUACUUCUACUUCUACCACUACUUCUACUAUUUCUACUUCUACUACUUCUACAGCUACUACUACUUCUACUACUUCUACCACUACUACUACUUCUACAACUUCUACUUCUACUACUACAGCUAAUACUACUACUACUUCUACUACUACUACUUCUACUACUUCUACCACUACUACUUCUGCUUCUACCACUACCACUACUACUUCUACUUCUACUUCUACCACUACUACUUCUACUUCUACUACUUCUACCACUACUACUACUACUUCUACUACUACUUCUACUUCUACAGCUAAUACUACUACUUCUACUACUACUACUUCUACCACUACUUCUACUACUUCUACAGCUAAUACUACUUCUACUACUUCUACCACUACUACUACUACUUCUACAGCUAAUACUACUUCUACUACUACUUCUACUACUACUACUUCUACCACUACUUCUACUUCUACUACUACUUCUACUUCUUCUACUUCUACUACUUCUACCACUACUUCUACUUCUACUACUACUUCUACUUCUACUAUUUCUACUUCUACUACUUCUACCACUACUUCUACUACUACUUCUACAGCUAAUACUACUUCUACCACUACUACUACUACUUCUACUACUUCUACUUCUACUACUACAGCUAAUACUACUUCUACUUCUACUACUUUUACUACUACUUCUACCACUACUACUUCUACUUCUACCACUACUACUUCUACUACUUCUACUACUACUACUUCUACAGCUAAUACUACUACUUCUUCUACUACUACUUCUACUACUACUUCUACCACUACUACUUCUACAGCUAAUACUAAUACUUCUACUUCUACCACUACUUCUACUACUACUUCUACUUCUACAGCUAAUGCUAAUACUACUACUACAAAUAGCUCUAAUACUACUUCUAACACUACUAAUGCUACUACUACUAGAAAUAGCACUACUACUACUACUGCUUCUACAGCCAAUACUCCUACUACAACUACUAAUACUUCUUCUACCACUACUAACACUAAUGCUACUACUACUACUCCUAAUACUAAUACCACAACUACUACUAUUAUUAAUACUACUAGUGAGUAUGACGCUGUAUUAACUUUAGUUCUCCUGUGUGUCCAGUGGAGGCGCUGUACAGCUACGAAGCCUCCAAACCCGACGACCUGUCGCUCGCCGAGGGCGACAUCAUCUACCUGACACAUCACCAUGACGACGGCUGGUGCGAGGGGUUUCUCAACGGCAGCAGGGGCUUCUUCCCCAAAAACUACGUCCAAUCAUGUGGCUAGACUGAAGCCCCGCCCCCCUGUGACCAUGGAGACCGAUCAGAGUUAAUUAAUUAAUGAUAAUCCCAGUUUCAUCAUGUAAAAGCUUUUAUACCAUAGAAAUAGAAAAACACUUUUUAAAUCGGUAUUUUAUGGGAAACAUGAACGUUUAUUCAUCAUACAGCAACAAGUAUUAGUAUAGAGUUUAUUAAUAAUACUAAAUGUCAGUUACGCCACUUUAAACCUCAUUAGAACUGGAAAUACAUAAUUUAACUACAAAACAUUGUUUUCUGCGAAGCCUCUAAAGGCCAUUUAUAAUUAUUUCUGACAAAACAACAAAGCUGCAGAUUAUUUGAUAUAAUCUUUAACUCACUAUGGAUUUGAAUAUAAAUCACUUUUAUUAUAGAUUAAUUUGCUGAUUACUUUAAUGAUGAAUCAAUUCAUCAUUUUUUUUUCAUAAAAUGUCAGAAAAUAUGCAUUUUUCACAAUAAAAUAUUUCACUUUAAUGGAACAAAAUAUAAUUUGAAAAACGCAGCUCAUUAAAUUAACUAACAAAGUCAAACAAAUAUAAUUUUAUAUAUUAAAUCUCUAAUAUAUUUCAAGGAGACAUCAUUAUAUCUAAAGUUUAACAAACUGAUUUCAUGUCUGUAAAUAUUAAAUGUAGAGUUUUUAUUUUUCUGUGAAGAACUUGAUCUGUGGUUAGUUUUAGCGCCUCUGCACGAUAAUAAUCUGGAAUCUUUUAUAAUCAAUAUAUUCAUGCUCGCAGUAUUUAUGGUCACUUUAGCGUUAUUACGUGUGAUUAUCAUGUUUCCUGGUUUAAUGUUUUUAUUCUGAUUCAUUAAAUUACUUUUAAUCACACAAUAAAACAAAACGCGUUUCGUCUCAUUGAAGUGAAGAUAUCAUUAUUAUUUUUACAGAGCAUUAAAUCAGUAGAAUUUUUAAUAGUCUGGUGAGAAGAAUUAACAUGUUUAGUAUUUAUUGGGGCUGUGAAAUGAGUGCGUUAAUUUCGAUUAAUUAAUCACAGAAAGAAUUACGCAAAAAUUUACGCAGAUUAAUUGCGCUCUUAGAAUCAGCCUGGAAGAGGACGUGUGUGUACAUUGACGCCACACACUGUGAGGAAGAUGGUUCGACUGGCAAAAGAAUCUCCAAGGAUCACAGCUGAAGAAUUGCAGAGGCUAGUUGAGUCUUGGGGUCAGAAAGUGUCCAUGUUGAGCCUGUUUCAGUCAGUGAGAGAAAUGACACUUUUGGGGUUUUUUAUAAUCAGAACUCAGUUUUCACAUUGAACAGGUUAUUAAAUGAUAUGUAUGUUGUUUAUGUGCA